UCCAGAGAAGAGGCCGAGUCCCACGUCUGAGCUGGGGCAGUGAAAGGGGGCGGAGUGGGCGGAGAGUCUGGAGAAAGUUGUGAGCCGCUGGGAAUCCGGAUAAAUCUUGACUAUGGCCGCUCUCAUGUUGCAAAGGCAGGGCUGAAAAGAUGCAACAGAGGCUGCGUGUGGCACCCUCACCGAUCUGCACUGUGGCUCAGUGGCUGUUGUGUGAUAGAGGUGGGCUGGCCUGUGUUCCUGGUUCCUGGAAGUUACCCUGUAAAUUCUUGGAAUUUCCCAAGUGAUAGGAGCGUCUUUGUCAUUCAUGGUGUAGCCUGGUAGUUUAUGCUAGAGAGGUGACACGUGGUCCUCCCUGGAUAGUUUGUGCUAAUGAGAUGAUACAGAUUGGGGACAGGCCACACCAUGUGAUUAGAACCUUUUGAGGAACUCGAUAUCAGUUUGACCUCUGGAGAAGGAAGUGGGGCUGGAGCUUGAAUUAAUUUGCUUGGCCAUUGAUUCAAUCGUGUCUGUGUAAUGAAACGCCAUUAAAAAUUCUAGACACGAACCUUAGAUGGGCUUCCCUGGUUGCUGAAACACAUUGAAAUGCUGGGAGACUGACAUGUCCUAAGAACAUGGACGACUUCACGUUUGGGAAUGGGAAAACUUCCCCCUGUGCGCCUUUGCAUUCUGCUGGUCCUGAUUUGUAUCCUUUAUAAUAAAACAGUCAUCGUAAGUAUAGCA
This is a long non-coding RNA of Herpailurus yagouaroundi (jaguarundi), 720 nucleotides long. RefSeq lists it as uncharacterized. The transcript is spliced from 2 exons. Lineage: Eukaryota; Metazoa; Chordata; Mammalia; Carnivora; Felidae. The record is from RefSeq and is a predicted model, not a curated record.